UGCAUUAAUUACAAGCAAAUGGUGGAUGCCUUGGGAUAUGAAGACGAUGAAGGACGUGGCGUGCCUGCGUAAAGCCUCGGGGAGGUGGUUAGCAACCUGUGAUCCGGGGAUGUCCGAAUGGGGAAACCUGAUCCGUCGAAAGAUGAGAUCGACUCUUUGAGCAAUUAAAGAGUAGCAAACCCGCUGAAGUGAAACAUCUCAGUAAGCGGAGGAAUAGAGAACAAACGUUAUUCUCUUAGUAGCGGCGAGCGAAAAGGGAGAAGCCUAAACCAUUUGUUCUCGCAAGAGAACAAAUGGGGUUGCAAGGAAAUAGCGUCGGGAGCUUUACUCCAAACGCAGAAAGUUCUGGUGUUUGGAGUAGCGCUUGACCGAGGGAGUUCAUAAAACAAAGGUUGGUUAAAAGAAGUUUCCUGGAACGGAACGCCAAAGAGGGUAAUAGCCCCGUAUUUGAAAAUUACUUUGUGCUCCUUGCUGUUUUACUUAAGUACCUCGGGAAACGAAAGUCCCGUGGGAAUCAUCCCGGUCUGCCGGGAAAGGCUAAAUACUUCAUAUCUCCGAUAGUGAACCAGUACCGUGAGGGAAAGGUGAAAAGCAGCCCAGUGAGGGCGGUGAAAUAGACCUGAAACCAUUUUGCUUACAAAGAGUAGGAGUCCGCCCCAACUUCUUUCGCAAGAAAGAUGUUGGCGGAUGACUGCGUGCUUUUUGCAGAACGACCCAGCGAGUUUAUGGAUGUUGCAGUCUAAGCGGUUCUGCCGCGAAGGCAUAGGGAAACCAAGUGUUAAUAGCGCGAUCAAAUGCAUCAUUCAUAAGACCCGAAGCCAGGCGAGCUUACCAUGACCAGGGUGAAGGCCGACGAAAGUCGGCCGGAGGCCCGAACCCGUGAGCCGUUCAACACUCUGGGAUGAGUUGUGGUAAGAAGUGAAAAGCUAACCGAGCCUGGUAAUAGCUGGUUCUCCCCGAAAUAGCUUUAGGGCUAGCCUUUAUCAAACAUCUUGGAGGUAGAGCUCUGGAAAGAAUGUCCUUGGCGAAAGCCAGGUAUUCUUACCAAACUUCGAAUGCCAGGAUGAAAAAGAUAAAGAGUCAGAACACGGGGGCUAAGCUCCGUGCUCGAGAGGGAAACAGCCCAGACCUUCAUCUAAGGUCCCUAAAUUCAGCUAAGUGCAAAUCAAGGAAGUGAAGUUCCACAGAUAGCUAGGAGGUUCGCUCAGAAGCAGCUAUCCUUUAAAAAGUGCGUAAUAGCUUACUAGCUAAGGAAUUUUGCGCCGAAAAUUUAUCGGGGCUAAGCUGAAUACCGAAGAUAAGGACCCCGUCCGUAAGGACGGGAUGGUAGGGGAGCGUCCUCAUUGCGACAAAGCCGAAGCGCAAGCUUUGGUGGAGCGAUGAGGAGUGAGAAUGCUGGGAUGAGUAACCGCAAUGCAGGUGAGAGCCCUGCACACCGAAAACCCAAGGUUUCCUUGGCAAUGAUGAUCAUCCAAGGGUUAGGCGGGCCUUAGUCGAGCGCCAAAUGGCGACUGAUGAUGGACAGCUGGCUAAUAUUCCAGCCCCCCGCACUCUUCCGAAGAGUAACGCAAUUUGAGGUUUUGAUCGGAUUAUUGGAUUUCCGUUUCCGCAAGGAUGAAGUCAGAACUACGGUUCUGGCGACUUGAACGAACGAAUUGCCCAGAAAAGCUCGUAGGGCUAAGAGUGUUGGGUCCGUACCGUAAACCGACACAGGUGGGUUGGUAUGAAUAUACUAAGGUGAACGGGUGAAAGCUCCUGAAGGAACUAGGCAAAAAAGUGUCCGUAAGUUCGCGAUAAGGACUGUCCCGCGUAGCUCGCAAGAGUGAAGCGGGAUCGCAGCGAAAGUAUCCCUGGCGACUGUUUACCAAAAACAUAGGUCUCUGCUCAACUCGUAAGAGGAUGUAUAGAGGCUGACACCUGACCAGUGCUGGAGUGUUAAAGGUGCCGGUCUUGCCGCAAGGUAAGGCUGAGUGCCCGAAGCCCCAGUGAACGUCCGCGGUAACUAUAACCGUGUUAAAGUAGCGUAACCCCUUGCCUGGUAAGUUCAGGCCUGCAUGAAAGGUGUCACGACUUGGGAACUGUCUCCAGGAGCAGCCCGGUGAAAAUGCAAUACCGGUGAAGAUGCCGGUUACCUGCGGCUAGACGGAAAGACCCCGGGAGCUUUACUGUAGCUUCUUAUUGUUUUAUCGUUUUGCAUACGUAGCAUAGUGGGCAGGCUUUGAAGUGCGCCUCUCGGGGCGCAUGGAGCCAACAGUGAAAUACCCAUUUUGCGAAAUGAUAAAUCUAAUUCGCCCAAAAGGCGGAGACAGUGGGAGGUGGUCAGUUUUAGUGGGGCGCUAGCCUCCUAAAGAGUAGCGGAGGCGUUUAUAAGGUCAGCUAGCUCCGGAUGGAAAUCGGAGCGGUCGUGUAAAGGCACAAGCUGGCUUAACUGCGAGACGGGUAUGUCGAGCAGAUGGGAAACCAGAACUUAGUGAACCGAUGCGUUGUAGUAGAAAACGCAAAGAUCAUCAACCAAAAGUUACCCCGGGGAUAACAGGCUGGUAGGGCCCGCGAGUCCAAAUCUACGGCCCUGUUCG
Molecule: ribosomal RNA, 2576 nt
Filed under: groundwater metagenome
Description: bacterial LSU rRNA
Rfam family: Bacterial large subunit ribosomal RNA
Source: RNAcentral